RNAcentral lists this ribosomal RNA (492 nucleotides) under uncultured bacterium. RNAcentral's name for it is "partial 16S ribosomal RNA". It matches the Rfam family "Bacterial small subunit ribosomal RNA", at positions 29 to 507 of the family's 1533-position model. The record is from RNAcentral.
AGUGAACGCUGGCGGUAGGCCUAACACAUGCAAGUCGAACGGCAGCACAGUAAGAGCUUGCUCUUACGGGUGGCGAGUGGCGGACGGGUGAGGAAUACAUCGGAAUCUACUUUUUCGUGGGGGAUAACGUAGGGAAACUUACGCUAAUACCGCAUACGACCUACGGGUGAAAGCAGGGGAUCUUCGGACCUUGCGCGAUUGAAUGAGCCGAUGUCGGAUUAGCUAGUUGGCGGGGUACAGGCCCACCAAGGCGACGAUCCGUAGCUGGUCUGAGAGGAUGAUCGGCCACACUGGAACUGAGACACGGUCCAGACUCCUACGGGAGGCAGCAGUGGGGAAUAUUGGACAAUGGGCGCAAGCCUGAUCCAGCCAUACCGCGUGGGUGAAGAAGGCCUUCGGGUUGUAAAGCCCUUUUGUUGGGAAAGAAAAGCAGCAGGUUAAUACCCCGCUGUUCUGACGGUACCCAAAGAAUAAGCACCGGCUAACUUCGUG